RNAcentral lists this long non-coding RNA (408 nucleotides) under Oryctolagus cuniculus (rabbit). RNAcentral describes it as "lncRNA (ENSOCUG00000030928.1)". The record is from RNAcentral. Lineage: Eukaryota; Metazoa; Chordata; Mammalia; Lagomorpha; Leporidae.
UUUAUGAAGUUACAAAGUUGCAAGUAACUCCUCAAAACACUUUAUUUCUAUCUCACAAGGAAAAGAAGAAGAAGAAAGAAAACCUCCAGCUUGAACAGACUAUUUCCCAGUUGGCAUAUUAGAAAUGGCUUCAUUUCUGAGAGAUGACAAAGUUAAUCCUGUUUUGAGUUAUAUUGGAUGAAAAUGGCAUUUUGAGCUUGCUUUGCAUUUACUGAAUAAGCCAUUGAGUCCAACAUUUACUGAGUGCCAUUAAGUGGAAGACACAGUGUUAGACAUUAAGGUUAUAAAGCAUCUCAUCUAACUUCUUCUUUCAUCUUAAAGAAUUCUGUUCAACUCCAAAGGUAAAUUGCAGAAAUGUAUGUGUGCAUACAUGUCUGUGUGCAUCUGUAUGUACGAGUUUGUACCUAU